CCUGCAUGAUGAUAAGCAAAUACUGACUGGAUGUGAAGGUCUUGUUUAUUAGCUCUACCUGAUU
Phyllostomus discolor (pale spear-nosed bat) is the source of this 64-nucleotide small nucleolar RNA. RefSeq annotates it as small nucleolar RNA SNORD44. The record is from RefSeq and is a predicted model, not a curated record. NCBI's taxonomy places the organism in Eukaryota, Metazoa, Chordata, Mammalia, Chiroptera, Phyllostomidae. The transcript has a single exon.